ACUAUAACGUUACGGAUAAUUAUUUGAGAUGUUUAAAACAAUAGGAAAACUAUGAAAUCGGCCGAAUAACAGUGCAACGGGCUCCGCAGUACGAAUCCCCGUGACAAUCUCGUAAAUUGUACUUAACGUUUACACAAUAAAAAAAAGAUACUAUUGUCUCUCUUGAAAAUAUUUAUCGUUGCAUCCCGAUAGUUGAAUACCGUAUACAGGGUAUUCCACGGAGAUUUGACAGGUAAAAUUAUUUUUA
Non-coding RNA from Cinara cedri, 247 nucleotides. NCBI's taxonomy places the organism in Eukaryota, Metazoa, Arthropoda, Insecta, Hemiptera, Aphididae. The record is from the annotation of a GenBank genome assembly.